This 73-nucleotide transfer RNA is filed under the name Ovis aries (sheep). It matches the Rfam family "tRNA". From Rfam's summary of the family: Transfer RNA (tRNA) molecules are approximately 80 nucleotides in length. Lineage: Eukaryota; Metazoa; Chordata; Mammalia; Artiodactyla; Bovidae. The record is from Rfam by way of RNAcentral.
UUCCUGGUGGCCUAGUGGUCAGGCUUUAGCGCUUUCACCGCCAGGGCCCCUGGUUCAAUCCCUGGUCAGGGAU